This 854-nucleotide long non-coding RNA is filed under the name Capsicum annuum. RNAcentral describes it as "long non-coding RNA (CANN_LNC002515)". The record is from RNAcentral. Lineage: Eukaryota; Viridiplantae; Streptophyta; Magnoliopsida; Solanales; Solanaceae.
AUCUCUCAUCCCUCAAAAGAAGAAAUAAGAAUUACUCUCUCUAUUCUCUCUACUCUUCUUCUUUGUUCUAUCUUGUUCUCUCUACUCUUCUUCUUUGUUCUUUCUUGUUUUAUAACAGCUAAGAUGAGAUUUUCCUCUUUUUUCUAAAAAGAUGUCAUUUAAACCCUAUCUGAUUUUCUCUGUCUUUGCCCCGAGGUUGCGAGCCCAAACCCCUUCUUCCCUAUUUUUGAUAAAAGGCGAAGGUGCAUAGCGUAGAAGAAGCGGGUGGAAGGAAUUUGUUUAAAAAAAAUGGGAAAAUCCAGUCGAGAUAGAUAUGAUUUUAUGGAACUAGGAUUAGGAAUUAAGUAGUCUCAAAGUUGUGAUGAUGUCAUUUUCUUUUGUUGAGGUAUUAUUAUGUAUUUAAUUUGUCAUUGUGGAGGAGAGUAUGGUGGUUAUGUUCUCCGAAAAUAUAAAAGUCUGCUAGCUUUUAAUUAGUUAUGUACACGUUAUUCGCUUAAGUUUGUGCGGACUGUUUAUGAUAGUAAGGGUUUCUUGGGAACGUUUUCUGCUAAUUCUACUCGGGAAUAAAGUUUUUUUCUUCCAUUCUGAAAUAUGUUGGCAGCCCUCUAGUUUACUCCACUAACCGAUAAUAUGGACAGUUUUACAUUCACUUGAAAUAUGUAUGUGAGUACUCACAAUGUCCUGAGAUCUGGUUAUCCCUUUGCUAUUUUAAUUAAUUUUAUCUACGAGUUUGUGUCGUUGCAUUUUGAGGUCCUAAAGAUAAAUGUUUAGUUGGUUUUUGAGAAACAUAUAUGUAUCUUGUGCUUAGGUUUGUAAAUCCGUGAGUUGGUGGCCUACGUUUGCUUGAGUCUUGG